RNAcentral lists this ribosomal RNA (468 nucleotides) under uncultured bacterium. Its description in RNAcentral is "partial 16S ribosomal RNA". It matches the Rfam family "Bacterial small subunit ribosomal RNA", at positions 28 to 507 of the family's 1533-position model. The record is from RNAcentral.
GAUGAACGCUGGCGGCGUGCUUAACACAUGCAAGUCGAACGGAAAGGCCCUGCUUUUGCGGGGUGCUCGAGUGGCGAACGGGUGAGUAACACGUGAGUAACCCGCCCUUGACUUUGGGAUAUCUUCAGGAAACUGGGGCUAAUACAGGAUAGGAGAUCCUGCUGCAUGGUGGGGGUCGGAAAGUUUCGGCGGUGGGGGAUAGACUCGCGGGUUAUUAGCUGGUUGGUGGGGUAGUUGCUUACCAAGGGUUUGACGGAUAGGCCGCCUGGGAGGGGGGACAGCGUCCAUGGGCCUAAGAUACGGACCAGUCGCCAACGUGAGGCAGCAGGCGAGAGUCUUGCACAGUGAGGGGACGCCUGUUGCAGCAGCCCCGCGUGCGGAAUGACCGCCUUCGUGUUAUAAACCGCUGUCGCCUUUGACGUAGCGUUAUUGACGGUAAUGAGUAAAGAAGCACCGGCUAACUACGUG